Molecule: ribosomal RNA, 482 nt
Filed under: uncultured bacterium
Lineage: Bacteria
Description: partial 16S ribosomal RNA
Rfam family: Bacterial small subunit ribosomal RNA
Source: RNAcentral
AUUGAACGCUGGCGGCAUGCCUUACACAUGCAAGUCGAACGGUAACGGGCCUUCGGGUGCCGACGAGUGGCGAACGGGUGAGUAAUACAUCGGAACGUGCCCGAUCGUGGGGGAUAACGAGGCGAAAGCUUUGCUAAUACCGCAUACGAUCUACGGAUGAAAGCAGGGGACCGCAAGGCCUUGCGCGGACGGAGCGGCCGAUGGCAGAUUAGGUAGUUGGUGGGAUAAAAGCUUACCAAGCCGACGAUCUGUAGCUGGUCUGAGAGGAUGAUCAGCCACACUGGGACUGAGACACGGCCCAGACUCCUACGGGAGGCAGCAGUGGGGAAUUUUGGACAAUGGGCGCAAGCCUGAUCCAGCCAUGCCGCGUGCAGGAUGAAGGCCUUCGGGUUGUAAACUGCUUUUGUACGGAACGAAAAGCCUUCUUUUAAUACAGGAGGGGCAUGACGGUACCGUAAGAAUAAGCACCGGCUAACUACGUG